Non-coding RNA from Anolis sagrei ordinatus, 945 nucleotides. The record is from RefSeq and is a predicted model, not a curated record. NCBI's taxonomy places the organism in Eukaryota, Metazoa, Chordata, Lepidosauria, Squamata, Anolidae.
CACACUUGUCAUCUCCCCGUCCCCCCCCCACCCUUUGCUGGGACGGAUAUAUUUUAAAAUUACAUUACCGCCCGGCUUUAUUGCAUCAGGAUAAUACAGUGUGGUUGGAGGGAGGGGGGGUGAGAAGAAAGAGAGAGAAAUUAAAUAACCCUCCAAAAGCCCAUCAAUAUUUCCUUUUUUUCCUAGCCUCUCCUCUCUCUUCCCCCUCCCCCACCAUCUUUGAUUAUGAUGAUUAUUAGUCAUUUAAUUUUUUUAUGAUUAUUAUGAUUUUCAAACAGAGGCAGAAGGAACGAACGGAUCACCAGGCUGACCAACUUCUCCUCAACUUUCUUCUUCUGCCUCGGGAAAGGCAGCCGCGAUUCAGAUCAGAGACGAAAACGACCUCUUUGAAGUUUCUCAGAAACCGGUUCAGAAAACCUGGUGGGUUAGAGACCAGAGUUCAAAACCGCCCCUGCUCGUUAUCCCACCAGAUAUUCUGAACUACAUAUCCCAUCAGACUAAUACUACAGUAAUGGGACUUGCUGUGCAAAACCAACACCACCUUUGGGAAACAGCAUUACAGAAAAGGGAGAGCUAGAAGCGGAAAGCCCCUGGUGGCGCAACCACUGAGCUGCUGGAAUCCGGGGAGCGAGAUCGACGUUGAAGGAAAGGACAUCCCAAAACACAGAGACCAAUAUGCUUUGGCUACGACCCCUGUGGACUCAAAUCUGCACUCUCUCAGGUCAAGUCACACUCUCUCAGUGGAAGGAAAAAGCAACCCCAUUUUGAAUAAACAUUGUCAAGAAAACUCUGUGAUAGGUUCGCUUUUGGGGCGCCAUAGGUCGGAAAUAGACGAAGGCAUACAACAAGGGCUUCUAUUCUAUUAGCUGCUUUGUGUGUGUGCCUUCAGGUGCCCUGCGGAUUUAUGGCUUCCUUCUUCUGAAAUAAAGGCUACAGCAUCUAGUA